AAAAUGUGAAGGAUGCUAGUGAAUAAAUCCCCUGAAUGAAUCCAGAAACAACAUACAGAGAAACCAAAUCAUUUAGCCAAGGAAGAAGACGUGGCCUUCACAAGCACGGGUAGAUCUUGACUGGACCUGGAGAGCAAAGUUGGUGGCUGAUGCGCAGAUCUGUGUUCUAAUUUGCACCUGAGCAUUAGAGAUUGACAGCUAAUUAUAGUAGACCUCCAGCUCUUCUAGAUGAAGGCCCCCCUCUUCUCCAAGGUAUCAAAGAUGCAGUCCGGUGCCCUAUCUACAACAUCAUCCUUCCUCUUUAAAGGUUCUAAGGGGAAGACACCCAUUUGCCCGAGGUCCUCGAAAGCUGGAAUGAAUGGAUUGGUGUCUACAGAACUGGGAUGGACCGCCAAUUUUUCUAACUCUUGCUAUUUUAACAUGUGGUCUCAUGAUAGUUCAUGUUUUCU
Long non-coding RNA from Mauremys reevesii (Reeves's turtle), 449 nucleotides. RefSeq lists it as uncharacterized. The transcript is spliced from 3 exons. The record is from RefSeq and is a predicted model, not a curated record. Lineage: Eukaryota; Metazoa; Chordata; Testudines; Geoemydidae.